UGGGGAAUACUGCACAAUGGGCGCAAGCCUGAUGCAGCCAUGCCGCGUGUGUGAAGAAGGCCUUCGGGUUGUAAAGCACUUUCAGCGAGGAGGAAGGUGGUGAACUUAAUACGUUCAUCAAUUGACGUUACUCGCAGAAGAAGCACCGGCUAACUCCGUGCCAGCAGCCGCGGUAAUACGGAGGGUGCAAGCGUUAAUCGGAAUUACUGGGCGUAAAGCGCACGCAGGCGGUUUGUUAAGUCAGAUGUGAAAUCCCCGGGCUCAACCUGGGAACUGCAUUUGAAACUGGCAAGCUAGAGUCUCGUAGAGGGGGGUAGAAUUCCAGGUGUAGCGGUGAAAUGCGUAGAGAUCUGGAGGAAUACCGGUGGCGAAGGCGGCCCCCUGGACGAAGACUGACGCUCAGGUGCGAAAGCGUGGGGAGCAAACAGAUUAGAUACCCUGGUAGUCACGCUGUAAACGAUGUCGAUUUUGGAGGUUGUGCCCCUUGAGGCGUGGNUUCCGGAGCUAACGNGUUAAAUCGACCGCCNGGGG
This 531-nucleotide ribosomal RNA is filed under the name uncultured bacterium. RNAcentral describes it as "partial 16S ribosomal RNA". It matches the Rfam family "Bacterial small subunit ribosomal RNA", at positions 355 to 878 of the family's 1533-position model. The record is from RNAcentral.